Long non-coding RNA from Anastrepha ludens (Mexican fruit fly), 795 nucleotides. RefSeq lists it as uncharacterized. Lineage: Eukaryota; Metazoa; Arthropoda; Insecta; Diptera; Tephritidae. The transcript has 2 exons. The record is from RefSeq and is a predicted model, not a curated record.
CUCAAGUAGCACUCAAUAAAGGAAGUCGAAACAUAAACACAGAGGAGGAGCUCAAGGACAUUAUAGCCACCGCUCGUGACAUGGAGGCGCGCUGGAGUCACCUCUUUGACAUGAUUAUCAUAAACAACGACACAGAUCGUGCUUAUCAACAGCUGCUGGCCGAGAUCAAUUCACUGGAACGUGAACCGCAAUGGGUGCCAGCCAGUUGGGUGCAUAACAAUCGGGAUGAGUCGUAAAGUCAGUGGAAAUAAGGUGUAAGCGGAAUGGAGAGGAGUAAAAUGCCAAAACACAGGGAAACGAAUAAGGAAAAUUUGUGGGAAUUGAGGGACGUAUAAAAAGAAAGCUUAGAAGAAAAGUGAAAAUCAAAGAGAUUUAGUGGGGCAGAAAAAGUGUUGGGGAGUAUCGUUGAUGAAAACUGUCAUUAAAUUGCGGUUUGUUGGAGGCUGAAGCCGAUAGAAAGUUGCGUUGCCGCUAUACAGGUGACAGAAAAUCGAUAGCAAGUCGAUGAGCUUUUUUGAACAUUUUUGAAACGAAUUUCAAUCGCGGAACUUUCUGUCUUCGAUCAACUAAAAGAAGCUUUCAUUAGGUUUAGCUCUUGGCGAGCUACUUGCCUAUAACUUCGAUGACUCGUGCGCCUGCUAAUAUUGGCUUUGGCCACAGCUGUACCAACACUGCGAUACAGUGGCUUAACCCUUCAUUGCAUGAUUUAAUAUUUCUUUGUAAAAAAAACAUACACAUGUUAUUAGACCUCUAGGUAAUGGGAAAAAUAAUUAAAAAAAUCUUUGAUUUAUAGAA